RNAcentral lists this transfer RNA (62 nucleotides) under Semelidae sp. STW-2017. Its description in RNAcentral is "tRNA-Tyr". The record is from RNAcentral. Lineage: Eukaryota; Metazoa; Mollusca; Bivalvia; Cardiida; Semelidae.
UAGGGGGCGGCUGUAGAAGUGGUAAGUUGUAGCCUUACUUAUGUGGUAUAUUCCUCUCCCCU